GUUGACCUCGAAUCAGGUAGGACUACCCGCUGAACUUAAGCAUAUCAAUAAGCCGGAGGA
This 60-nucleotide ribosomal RNA is filed under the name Calonectria ilicicola. RNAcentral describes it as "partial 28S ribosomal RNA". The record is from RNAcentral. Lineage: Eukaryota; Fungi; Ascomycota; Sordariomycetes; Hypocreales; Nectriaceae.